UAAGUAGCUAGUGAAAUCUGGUGGCUCAACCAUUCAGGCUAUUAGCUAAACUGUCAAGCUCGAGACCGUUAGGGGUAACUGGAAUUUCUGGUGUAGGAGUGAAAUCCGUAGAUAUUAGAAAGAACACCGAUAGCGUAGGCAGGUUACUGGGACGGUUCUGACACUAAGGCACGAAAGCGUAGGGAGCAAACGGGAUUAGAUACCCCGGUAGUCUACGCUGUAAACGAUGGAUACUA
This 236-nucleotide ribosomal RNA is filed under the name uncultured Candidatus Saccharibacteria bacterium. RNAcentral describes it as "partial 16S ribosomal RNA". It matches the Rfam family "Bacterial small subunit ribosomal RNA", at positions 584 to 818 of the family's 1533-position model. The record is from RNAcentral. Lineage: Bacteria; Candidatus Saccharimonadota.